Molecule: ribosomal RNA, 441 nt
Filed under: uncultured bacterium
Lineage: Bacteria
Description: partial 16S ribosomal RNA
Rfam family: Bacterial small subunit ribosomal RNA
Source: RNAcentral
CCUACGGGAGGCAGCAGUCGGGAAUAUUGCGCAAUGGAGGAAACUCUGAAGCAGUGACGCCGCGUGCAGGAAGAAGGUUUUCGGAUUGUAAACUGCUUUAGACAGGGAAGAAAAAAGACAGUACCUGUAGAAUAAGCUCCGGCUAACUACGAGCAAGCAGCCGCGGUAAUACGUAGGGAGCAAGCGUUAGCCGGAUUUAUUGGGUGUAAGGGGUGCGUAAACGGGAAAACAAGUUAGUUGUGAAAUCCCUCAGCUUAACUGAGGAACUGCAACUAAAACUAUUUUUCUUGAGUGCUGGAGAGGAAAGUGGAAUUCAUAGUGUAGCGGUGAAAUGCGUAGAUAUUAGGCGGAACACCAGUGGCGAAGGCGACUUUCUGGACAGUAACUGACGUUGAGGCUCGAAAGCGUGGGGAGCAAACAGGAUUAGAUACCCUAGUAGUC